This 256-nucleotide unclassified non-coding RNA is filed under the name air metagenome. Its description in RNAcentral is "partial contains small subunit ribosomal RNA, internal transcribed spacer 1, and 5.8S ribosomal RNA". The stretch from base 1 to 46 matches the Rfam family "Eukaryotic small subunit ribosomal RNA", at positions 1786 to 1831 of the family's 1831-position model. The record is from RNAcentral.
AAGUCGUAACAAGGUUUCCGUAGGUGAACCUGCGGAAGGAUCAUUAUAGUGAAAAGCUAUAGACUUGGUGUCUAAGGAUGAAACCAUAAAGGUUAAUCCUAUACCGCCCAACCUUGUCAAUAAAUUUAACGUUACCUCGGUAGGUUAGCCUGCCGGUGGACAAUUUAAAACCCUUUUUAAACAUACUUAUAAAUACACUUGUCUGAUAAUUUUUAUAAUAAAAUUAAAACUUUCAACAACGGAUCUCUUGGUUCUG